UCUCUAAUUGUGGAGCACAGGCUCCAGGGCGCAGGCUCAGCAGUUGCGGCGAAUGGGCUUUGUUGCGCCACAGCAUGUGGGAUCUUCCCGGACCAGGGAUCAAACCCACGUCCUCUGCAUUGGCAGGUGGAUUCUUUACCACUGAGCCACCAGACAAGCCCGCCCUCAGGGGAGUGCUCGCAGAAAUGCUACUACAUUUUCAUCGUGGAGACCGUCUGCGUGGCCUGGUUUUCCCUCGAGUUCUGCCUGAGGUUUGUCCAGGCCCAGAACAAGUGCCAGUUCUUCCAAGGGCCCCUGAACAUCAUCGACAUUCUGGCCAUCUUCCCCUACUACGUGUCCCUCGCCGUGUCCGACGAGCCCCAGGAGGACGGCGAGCGGCCGGGCGGGAGCUCGUACCUGGAGAAGGUGGGGCUGGCGCUGCGCGUGCUGCGGGCUCUCCGCAUCCUCUACUUGAUGCGCCUGGCACGCCACUCGCUGGGGCUGCAGACGCUGGGCCUCACGGUGCGCCGCUGCACGCGCGAGUUCGGCCUGCUCCUUCUCUUCCUGUGCGUGGCCAUCACUCUCUUCUCUCCUCUGGUCUACGUGGCUGAGAAUGAGUCCGGGCGGGUCCUGGAGUUCACUAGCAUCCCGGCCUCCUAUUGGUGGGCCGUCAUCUCCAUGACAACAGUGGGCUACGGAGACAUGGUACCCAGCAGUGUGCCGGGCCAGAUGGUGGCCCUCAGCAGCAUCCUGAGCGGCAUUCUCAUCAUGGCCUUCCCGGCCACGUCCAUCUUCCACACCUUCUCGCACUCCUACCUGGAGCUCAAGAAGGAGCAGGAGGAGCUGCAGGCCCGCCUCCGCCGCCUGCAGAACGCGGCCAAGGCCAGCGAACACGAACUCCUGAGGGACGUCAGUGACCUGAGCCUGGAGGGCCCUGCCUUGCCCAUCGCAUACAUUUAACUCAAAAUCCUCCCCCGAAGAUGCCAGACCUUCAGCGCAUGGCCCUCGGCUGACAUGAGCUGGAGAACACCAGCGCCUGGAUCCUCCAGGAGUGUGUUUGUAGAGCUUGGGGGCUCACCCCCAAAGCUGGGAGGGGCUCAAGGCCAAGGAUGUUUGGUCGGGUGAUUCUUGACCCUCCUGGGCACAGUGUUCCGGGCUGGCCUUAUCCAUAUCACUUGCCAUUUCCUCUCUCCCUGCCCCUCGAUAAGCACAUCCAAUUUCGCUGGGUUAGGUCUGUCUCCCUUCCUUGCCAGCAGAGUCUUCAACAUCCCAGGCUGGAUUCCAGACGCCCACAGAACUGAACCUACAGAAUUCCAUUCCUCCCCUAAGACCUUCUUUCCUGGGCCAACGCACCACCAGGAACUGGAGGGGUCAGUCCCUGCAAACCCCUCUGAUCAGAUCUCUCCACCCAGCCCUACCAGUGGUUCCAGCCGGGGUCAGUGUACUCUCCCAUUGCUCAC
Bos taurus (domestic cattle) is the source of this 1439-nucleotide long non-coding RNA. NCBI's taxonomy places the organism in Eukaryota, Metazoa, Chordata, Mammalia, Artiodactyla, Bovidae. The record is from Ensembl.